CUACGGGAGGCUGCAGUCGAGAAUCUUCCGCAAUGGACGAAAGUCUGACGGAGCGACGCCGCGUGCGGGAUGAAGGCCUUCGGGUUGUAAACCGCUGUCAGUGGGGAGGAAAUGCAUCAGGGUUCUCCCUGGUGUUUGACCGAUCCGCAGAGGAAGCGCAGGCUAAGUUCGGUGCCAGCAGCCGCGGUAACACGAACUGCGCGAACGUUAUUCGGAAUCACUGGGCUUAAAGAGUUCGUAGGCGGCCUUUCAAGUCGGGUGUGAAAUCCCUCGGCUCAACCGAGGAAUUGCGCCUGAUACGGGUGGGCUUGAGGGGGAUAGGGGUGAGCGGAACUGAUGGUGGAGCGGUGAAAUGCGUUGAUAUCAUCAGGAACACCGGUGGCGAAGGCGGCUCACUGGAUCUCUUCUGACGCUGAGGAACGAAAGCUAGGGGAGCGAACGGGAUUAGAUACCCGGGUAGUC
Molecule: ribosomal RNA, 462 nt
Filed under: uncultured bacterium
Lineage: Bacteria
Description: partial 16S ribosomal RNA
Rfam family: Bacterial small subunit ribosomal RNA
Source: RNAcentral